Molecule: ribosomal RNA, 443 nt
Filed under: uncultured prokaryote
Description: bacterial SSU rRNA
Rfam family: Bacterial small subunit ribosomal RNA
Source: RNAcentral
UAGGGAAUAUUGGGCAAUGGACGGAAGUCUGACCCAGCCAUGCCGCGUGCAGGAAGACGGCCUUCUGGGUUGUAAACUGCUUUUGUAUGGGGAUAAAAAGGCGCUGCGGCGCAAAUUGCAGGUACCAUACGAAUAAGCACCGGCUAACUCCGUGCCAGCAGCCGCGGUAAUACGGAGGGUGCAAGCGUUGUCCGGAUUUAUUGGGUUUAAAGGGUACGUAGGCGGCAUGCUAAGUCAGUGGUGAAAUCCUGCGGCUUAACCGUAGAGUUGCCAUUGAUACUGGCGAGCUUGAGUACAAUUGAGGUAGGCGGAAUUUAUGGUGUAGCGGUGAAAUGCAUAGAUACCAUAAAGAACACCGAUAGCGAAGGCAGCUUACUAAAUUGAGACUGACGCUGAGGUACGAAAGCGUGGGUAGCGAACAGGAUUAGAUACCCCCGUAGUCC